Molecule: ribosomal RNA, 484 nt
Filed under: uncultured bacterium
Lineage: Bacteria
Description: partial 16S ribosomal RNA
Rfam family: Bacterial small subunit ribosomal RNA
Source: RNAcentral
AUUGAACGCUGGCGGCAGGCCUAACACAUGCAAGUCGAGCGGAUGAAGGGAGCUUGCUCCUGGAUUCAGCGGCGGACGGGCGAGUAAUGCCUAGGAAUCUGCCUGGUAGUGGGGGAUAACGUCCGGAAACGGGCGCUAAUACCGCAUACGUCCUGAGGGAGAAAGUGGGGGAUCUUCGGACCUCACGCUAUCAGGUGAGCCUAGGUCGGAUUAGCUAGUUGGUGGGGUAAAGGCCUACCAAGGCGACGAUCCGUAACUGGUCUGAGAGGAUGAUCAGUCACACUGGAACUGAGACACGGUCCAGACUCCUACGGGAGGCAGCAGUGGGGAAUAUUGGACAAUGGGCGAAAGCCUGAUCCAGCCAUGCCGCGUGUGUGAAGAAGGUCUUCGGAUUGUAAAGCACUUUAAGUUGGGAGGAAGGGCAGUAAGUUAAUACCUUGCUGUUUUGACGUUACCAACAGAAUAAGCACCGGCUAACUUCGUG